GGUCGCGUAGCUCAGCUGGAUAGAGCACCUGCCUUCUAAGCAGGCGGUCCCAGGUUCGAAUCCUGGCGCGAUCACCA
This 77-nucleotide transfer RNA is filed under the name bacterium. RNAcentral's name for it is "tRNA-Arg". It matches the Rfam family "tRNA". Rfam says of the family: Transfer RNA (tRNA) molecules are approximately 80 nucleotides in length. The record is from RNAcentral. RNAcentral also lists the same sequence under 3 other names.